GGGCUCGUGGUCUAGCAGGUUAUGACACUGCCCUUACAAGGCAGAGGUCGGGAGUUCGAAUCUCCUCGAGCCCA
RNAcentral lists this transfer RNA (74 nucleotides) under Methermicoccus shengliensis. RNAcentral describes it as "tRNA-Val". It matches the Rfam family "tRNA". From Rfam's summary of the family: Transfer RNA (tRNA) molecules are approximately 80 nucleotides in length. The record is from RNAcentral. Lineage: Archaea; Methanobacteriati; Methanobacteriota; Methanomicrobia; Methanosarcinales; Methermicoccaceae.